Molecule: ribosomal RNA, 520 nt
Filed under: uncultured Glomus
Lineage: Eukaryota; Fungi; Glomeromycota; Glomeromycetes; Glomerales; Glomeraceae
Description: SSU rRNA
Rfam family: Eukaryotic small subunit ribosomal RNA
Source: RNAcentral
AGCAGCCGCGGUAAUUCCAGCUCCAAUAGCGUAUAUUAAAGUUGUUGCAGUUAAAAAGCUCGUAGUUGAAUUUCGGGACCAAUUUGUUGGUCGUGCCUCGGUACGUACUGGUAUUAUUGGUUUCUCCCUUCUGAAGAACCUCGAUGCCAUUAAUUUGGUGUCGUGGGGAAUCAGGACUGUUACUUUGAAAAAAUUAGAGUGUUUAAAGCAAGCAUACGCUUGAAUACAUUAGCAUGGAAUAAUGAAAUAGGACGUUUGAUUCUAUUUUGUUGGUUUCUAGGAUCGACGUAAUGAUUAAUAGGGGUAGUUGGGGGCAUUAGUAUUCAAUUGUCAGAGGUGAAAUUCUUGGAUUUAUUGAAGACUAACUACUGCGAAAGCAUUUGCCAAGGAUGUUUUCAUUAAUCAAAAACGAAAGUUAGGGGAUCGAAGACGAUCAGAUACCGUCGUAGUCUUAACCAUAAACUAUGCCGGCUAGGGAUCGGAUGAUGUUAAUUUUUAAUGACUCAUUCGGCGCCUUACG